GGCAGGAAAAGCAGAGCAAGACAGAAAGGACGGUGAGAGAAGAAAAAGGAGGAGGCAGCGCCGGCGGGGUGAAGGACGGUGUAAAUCUAAUGAUGGCACGCUGAGAGAAAAACACAGAGAGAAAAAAGGCAGAGUGCACCGGCAGAUCAUCACACAUCAUCUGUGAUAGUGGAGUAAUCAAAGAGAGGCUACAUGAAGAGGAAAAUUAGCCCCUCACUUUGUGCAAGACACUUAGACACCAAGAGACUCGCGGUAACAUUUGUCACACAUGCUGGUGGAGAAGAGUAAAGGCUCACAUGGGAUGCGAGCGCAGUGAUUAUUUAAAAAAUGGAUAAUGGAUUCACAGUUCACGGGUCAAGCCAUCAUCAAGCACUGCUUUCAUCAUCCAGCAUCACAUUCACGUGAAAGAAAUUCAAAACAACAGGUAAAUGAAUGCAGGGAGAAUCCGUAGAGUGCUACAUCAAGUGUAAGGAUGGAGAGAUGGAAGAGGUGAAGGAGGAAUGGAUCUGCACUUCAAACCACCAGGAGAAGACCUCUGUGAACUGAUCCAUUUCCCUCUCUCUCUUGCUCUCCUUCUGUCUCUCUCUGACAGAUUUAUUAAGAGGCAGGGAUCAAAACGAGUCCCCAGCUCCCUCCUCUCCUCAUCCCUCACUUUCUCCUCUUCUUCAUCAGCUGACAGCGUCUCCCUCCUCCUCUCUCGCUCUCCCUUUGUCCCAUGGCCCGAGCCUAUAUUCUUGAGCCCUGAGAGAAACUAUGAGAAAUAGGUGAUGAGGAAGGAGAUGAGGAGGAGGUGGAGAUGGGAGUGGAGAGGAUGAAUAUCUUUUUUUUUCUGUCCCUGUGGCCUGCUUUAAAAGAUUCUUUGGUCCUCACACACUCACACAAACAUGUCACUGCUUUCCUUUUCCACACUUGAAGUUGUCUUUUCAUAUCUUUGGAGCAGACUGUGUGCUUCGAGAAAACUUUUGUAGAGGAAUAAAAACCAUAUGUCAAAAUCAGCGGUGAGCACGCGCUUACUCAGGCAAAUGUUAUCUUUCCAUUUGCCUCACUGAUGCGCCGUGCUGCAUUCAAAGCCUAUGGCUUGUCAGAAAAAACACCCGACGCUGACAGAUGGGGGUAUUUCUCAAUCGCCACUUUCCUGGAAUGAUGCUUCCUGUCACUUUAGCUAAAUAACAGCCACCGAAUCAACACAGAGGAAUGUGACAACAGACAGCAGAAAAAGCUGCAGUUGGACCACCCCAUAGUUAUUUACAGUCUGUUAGCAAUUUCCAUUUCAAAUAUCACAUUUAAAUAGAGAGAUGUCAUUUUACUUUUUCUUUUUUUUUUUUUUUGCUGAGGAUAACCAGCAUCUAAAAUUUAUAUCAAACGUAUUCCAGUUUUCUCGAAAAGUCUGUUUUUCUAAUGAGGCAUGUAUUUUGCAGGUUGGAAAAAAAUUGAACCAAAAAGACCAUGUUAUUUUUUUUGCGUGUAUAUAAUGUAUCUCAUCAACUUUUAAAUAUCCCAUAUUUUACCACUGUAUCAUAAAAUAAUUAAAGUUGGUGGUUUUGUGGACAGGGUGCCUCUUUCUGCAUAGAGUUUGCAUGUUCUCCCUGUGCAUGUGUGGGUUUUCUUUGGGUACUCCAGAUACUGCUUAACUGGUGAUUCUAAACUGUAAGUGUGAUUGAGAGUGUGACUGUUUGUCUCUAUACGGCGCCCUCCAUAAUUAUUGCCACCCCUGGUUAAGAUGUGUUCUUUAGCUUCUAAUAAAUUCAAUUUUUUUCUAAAUAAUGUCGGACCACAAUAAAAAAAAAAAAAAGAGGAAAAUCCAUCCUUUAAUUCAAGUGCAUUUAUUCAGUGGGAAAAAAAUCACACAUUAAGAAAUCAUUCUUUUACAUCAAAUCGUGUGUGCCACAAUUAUUAGCACCCCUGAUGUUAAAACUUUGUACAACCACCUUUUGCCAACAAAACAGCACCUAAUCUUUUCCUAUAUACAUUUUCAUCAAUUUUCAGUUUGAGGGUAUGUUUCUGAAAUAAAAAUUGAAUUUAUUUUAAGGCUUUCAACACAUCUUAACCAGGAGUGCCAAUAAUUAUGGAGGGCGCUGUGACCUGUCCAAGGUGUUUCCUACCUUCACUUUAAGUCAGCUGGGAUAGACUCCAGCCCCCAUGACCCUAAUGAGGAUUAAGGGGUGUAUAGAGAAUGGAUGGAUGGAUGGAUGGAUGGAUGGAUGGAUGGAUGGAUGGACAUUUAAAUGGAGAUAUGUCAUUGCAGAUUUGUUUUUUAGCUGAGGACAACAUCAUCUAAAAUCAUAUCAAAUGUAUUUCUUGUAAAACCUGUUCGUUCCCAUGAGAAAAAAAGGGCCACAUCAUUUUUUUGCGUGUAUAUAACGUAUCUCAUCAACAUUUAAGUCUCCCAUAUUUUACCACUGCACUAUAAAAGAAUUAAAAAUGGUGGUUUUCACAGAAAGUUUGAAAAACCCUCCAGUGGAGUUUACAGACUUGUAGAAUUGAUGCCAAUGUGAGCUGAUGUCAUCCUGGUGGGACAUUGUUACAUUCUUGUGUGUGUGGAUACGGUAGGUUGUGUUUUCUCUUCUCUUCCUUUAGAUUACGCCUAGUGGGAGUGGCCAGGGGCACCUGUGGCUCAUUGGUAAUCAGGGGAAAGUGAAAACCUCAGCCACCUGAAUCAGCGUCGCCUUUUGGCCAGACCGGCAGCUGGAGUGUGUGCUGGUGGCUUGGUGCGGAACCUGGACUCGGCUGUUGUGCCUCAACUCAUUCUUGGAACGUUUCGGGGUUAGGGAACUCGAUUCCCUUGUGUGGAUCUUGGCUUUAACUCCCAUUGUAAAUAAAGUUAUUUCUCCGCCGCA
Acanthochromis polyacanthus (spiny chromis) is the source of this 2837-nucleotide long non-coding RNA. RefSeq lists it as uncharacterized. Lineage: Eukaryota; Metazoa; Chordata; Actinopteri; Pomacentridae. The transcript has 2 exons. The record is from RefSeq and is a predicted model, not a curated record.